Molecule: ribosomal RNA, 495 nt
Filed under: uncultured bacterium
Lineage: Bacteria
Description: partial 16S ribosomal RNA
Rfam family: Bacterial small subunit ribosomal RNA
Source: RNAcentral
GACGAACGCUGGCGGCGUGCCUAAUACAUGCAAGUAGAACGCUGAAGGAGGAGCUUGCUCUUCUGGAUGAGUUGCGAACGGGUGAGUAACGAGUAGGUAACCUGCCUGGUAGCGGGGGAUAACUAUUGGAAACGAUAGCUAAUACCGCAUAACAGUAGAUGUUGCAUGACAUUUACUUAAAAGGUGCAAUUGCAUCACUACCAGAUGGACCUGCGUUGUAUUAGCUAGUUGGUGGGGUAACGGCUCACCAAGGCGACGAUACGUAGCCGGCCUGAGAGGGUGAUCGGCCACACUGAGACUGAGACACGGCCCAGACUCCUACGGGAGGCAGCAGUAGGGAAUCUUCGGCAAUGGACGGAAGUCUGACCGAGCAACGCCGCGUGAGUGAAGAAGGUUUUCGGAUCGUAAAGCUCUGUUGUAAGAGAAGAACGAGUGUGAGAGUGGAAAGUUCACACUGUGACGGUAUCUGACCAGAAAGGGACGGCUAACUACGUG